AGAGUUUGAUCCUGGCUCAGGAUGAACGCUGGCGGUAUGCUUAACACAUGCAAGUCGAACGGUCUCUUCGGAGAUAGUGGCGGACGGGUGAGUAACGCGUGAGAAUCUGGCUCUAGGUCGGGGACAACAGUUGGAAACGACUGCUAAUACCGGAUGUGCCGAGAGGUGAAAGAUUUAUUGCCUAGAGAUGAGCUCGCGUCUGAUUAGCUAGUUGGUAGAGUAAGAGCCUACCAAGGCGACGAUCAGUAGCUGGUCUGAGAGGAUGAUCAGCCACACUGGGACUGAGACACGGCCCAGACUCCUACGGGAGGCAGCAGUGGGGAAUUUUCCGCAAUGGGCGAAAGCCUGACGGAGCAAUACCGCGUGAGGGAGGAAGGCUCUUGGGUUGUAAACCUCUUUUCUCAGGGAAUAACAAAAUGAAGGUACCUGAGGAAUCAGCAUCGGCUAACUCCGUGCCAGCAGCCGCGGUAAUACGGAGGAUGCAAGCGUUAUCCGGAAUGAUUGGGCGUAAAGCGUCCGCAGGUGGCUAUGUAAGUCUGCUGUUAAAGAGUGAGGCUUAACCUCAUAAAAGCAGUGGAAACUACAUAGCUAGAGUGCGUUCGGGGCAGAAGGAAUUCCUGGUGUAGCGGUGAAAUGCGUAGAGAUCAGGAAGAACACCGGUGGCGAAGGCGUUCUGCUAGGCCGCAACUGACACUGAGGGACGAAAGCUAGGGGAGCGAAUGGGAUUAGAUACCCCAGUAGUCCUAGCCGUAAACGAUGGAUACUAGGCGUUGCGAGUAUCGACCCUCGCAGUGCCGGAG
RNAcentral lists this ribosomal RNA (800 nucleotides) under uncultured bacterium. Its description in RNAcentral is "bacterial SSU rRNA". It matches the Rfam family "Bacterial small subunit ribosomal RNA", at positions 8 to 851 of the family's 1533-position model. The record is from RNAcentral.